UUGCUGCUGGAGUCUACAUCAUCGUGGUUAAAUCAACGCUUUUUCCACAAUCCUUUCGCAAACCUAAUCCAAUAUUACUUUGCUUUUACGAGUUUCUCACGACAACGUUCUUCCUGGAGUUCUCGAUUGCCUGCAUCUGGACACCCAUCGAUGUUCUCAUGCUAACCUCUCUACCCAAGGCCAUUUGCCACGUAACGUAACGAUCUCCCGUUCAUUCCGUUGAUCGCAUUUGUUGCGAUAACAAUUAAAAGACUUCGCUUACCUUUGUACGCGCUUGUGUAAGCGUGAUCUCUCUCUCGCUUUUUAUAUUUUAUUCUCAUGCUCUCUCAUAAGAUUCCUCGAUAAUAGACUCUUCAAGAUUAUGGAUUUAACGAGGCCGCCGAAACCUUCGUAGCUAACAAAUCGUCUAUGGCAGCGCUUAGUUACGGAACUGCAACGACCUUCUUCUUACUUGCAUUGCACGUUACUAAAACGGUCGACUACACGAUACUUACAGACUGUGGAUUUACUUGCUUUGGUUCUUAUUUGAAAAAUAAACUGUGGCAGCAAAUACAGAGCGAACUUCCGAAAACAAAGCAAAUUAAAAAGUGUUCGUGUAAAUCUCGAAGGAAAAAUC
Molecule: unclassified non-coding RNA, 616 nt
Organism: Vespa mandarinia (Asian giant hornet)
Lineage: Eukaryota; Metazoa; Arthropoda; Insecta; Hymenoptera; Vespidae
Source: RefSeq, a predicted model, not a curated record